CGGGACGGGGUGGAGUAAUGUCUGGGAAACGUGCCUGAUGGAGGGGGAUAACUACUGGAAACGGUAGCUAAUACCGCAUAACGUCGCAAGACCAAAGAGGGGGACCUUCGGGCCGUCUUGCCAUCGGAUGUGCCCAGAUGGGAUUAGCUAGUAGGUGGGGUAACGGCUCACCUAGGCGACGAUCCCUAGCUGGUCUGAGAGGAUGACCAGCCACACUGGAACUGAGACACGGUCCAG
RNAcentral lists this ribosomal RNA (237 nucleotides) under uncultured bacterium. Its description in RNAcentral is "partial 16S ribosomal RNA". It matches the Rfam family "Bacterial small subunit ribosomal RNA", at positions 104 to 334 of the family's 1533-position model. The record is from RNAcentral.